This is a long non-coding RNA of Hydra vulgaris (swiftwater hydra), 433 nucleotides long. RefSeq lists it as uncharacterized. The record is from RefSeq and is a predicted model, not a curated record. Lineage: Eukaryota; Metazoa; Cnidaria; Hydrozoa; Anthoathecata; Hydridae.
GCAUUAGAAUGCAGAGAAGAAUUGGCUUAAGUUUAUACAAAUAAAAACUAAAUUCUCUUCAGAUAAAUCAAUUACAGUUAAUUGGUGGAACGUCUUCUAAAGAUCAAAAACAGUAUUGGACUCUUACCUCAUUUACAACCAGGGUGUCCGCAGCUCCUCUGAAGUCCUCUUUUUUUUAAAACCACUUCUAAAAUCCUCUAUUAUCCUCUAAUUAAUUUUUGAUGGAAGUAUAAUGUUCAAAAUACCCAUUCUCGGUCUGCAAAACUGGUUAACGCCUUAAAGUGCAUGGAAAUGUAAAAAAUUACUUUAGCAAAUGCAUGCUAUUUAACAUAAAAAAUGACAUUAUUUGAUCCCUGUCCAAGAAAUUUGUGCAGAUUUUAUUCAGUAAUAUGUAUAUAUUUGUAAUAUUUAGAUAUAUUUUUCAAUAAAACAA